Molecule: long non-coding RNA, 1296 nt
Organism: Cyprinus carpio (common carp)
Lineage: Eukaryota; Metazoa; Chordata; Actinopteri; Cypriniformes; Cyprinidae
Source: Ensembl
AGCCAAUCAGAAUCCACCUGACCAGCUUGAGCAUUUAAAGAGGCAGACGACAAAACCUCAGCGCAUGCAGAAGGUUAUCAUAUGUUGGUGUAGAUGCUAAUAUUGUUAUAGUUAUCUUUUUCAUUAUCGUUCUUGGUGUGAAUGGGCCUUUAGAUAGGGAGAAAAGGAAUAAUCUGUCUGUGUGUGUAUGCAGGAGUAUCUCAGUGUGACCCUAGAAUCCGUCCUGGCCAAGAAAAUCACAGAAGCGUCACUGAUGAGUAGUGAUUUAAUUACAGUAGUGCAAGGUGUCCUUCUUUCUACCUGCCUUCCGGGUGAUCUCUCCCUCUCUCUAUCGUUCCUUCUUACUGGGACAAUAGGGGACUGGAGGUGGAGGCCAGGAACUCUAAAACUACUUCUGGUACCUCAGGGCUCAAUGUUUAGGGUGGCUUUGUCUUCCAAAAGUAGGGAAUGUUCUUUCCCUCUGACCACAAUAUGGACGUGAACUCCGGAAAAGACACUGUCACUGCCAUGGAGACAUUCUGGAACUGUUGCCUUGGAAACAGUAAUCAUGGUUUGAGCGAGGGGUGAAAUGGAAGAGUUUUUUGAGGGUGGAAGAGUGUGAUCCUCUCCACCUUGUUUUUAGAGCUGCAACUGAGUCAAAGAUUAGGCAGAGAUGGAGACCCAAUCUCGCAUCCGCCUCAGCUGUUUCCGAAGGAAGACAAACACGCCCCACGCCAAUAAAACCGCAGCGCGAUGCUCCCCCAAUGUCACCGAACGGAUGAACUUUGCGGGGAGCCGCAGAACCCUCACCAGCUCCCCACAGUUCCGGCUGUGGAUCCAGCAUGUAAUAGAAGAUGGUGAGAAUUCAAUAAUCAUCAGAGUCCUCAUCUCCACAUGCUCUACUGAACAGGAAAAUAAUUACAUUUCUUUCACUUUUUUUGUCUCAGAUAAAUUAUGGAUCCCUUAUCUGGCUCCAAGGAUAAACGAAUCUGAUUCACGGGCCAAUUAACUAGCAUUCUUGCACCUCGAUGGAGCGUGCUCAGUGUCUCAUGAAUGAGUGGCAUGCGCCGAGAACAGCACGAGAAGAAGCAUGUGGCUUUUAUGCGAUUCUCAUAACACAUUCUCUAUCAAACACAACAGGUUUCCUUGCACAUAUUUCUAGUUUAUGAUUCUACGAUGUAUAAUAUAUCGCCCAAUCGAUGUUCAACACCAUCUGUAUUCUGGUUCUAAAAAAAUGGUUUCUUUCUUAGCUUCUUACAAUCGAGGAUACUCUGAACCCCAUCCCCCCCCACCACUCUUACUCAUCGUACACCUGAC